Molecule: ribosomal RNA, 447 nt
Filed under: uncultured bacterium
Lineage: Bacteria
Description: bacterial SSU rRNA
Rfam family: Bacterial small subunit ribosomal RNA
Source: RNAcentral
CCAGACUCCUACGGGAGGCAGCAGUGGGGGAUAUUGCACAAUGGGGGGAACCCUGAUGCAGCGACGCCGCGUGGGUGAAGGAGUAUUUCGGUAUGUAAAGCCCUAUCGGCAGGGAAGAAGCAAGACGGUACCUGACUAAGAAGCCCCGGCUAACUACGUGCCAGCAGCCGCGGUAGUACGUAGGGGGCGAGCGUUAUCCGGAUUCACUGGGUGUAAAGGGAGCGUAGACGGCCAAGCAAGCCAGGGGUGAAAGCCCGGGGCCCAACCCCGGGACUGCCCUUGGAACUGCUUGGCUGGAGUGCGGGAGGGGCAGGCGGAAUUCCUGGUGUAGCGGUGAAAUGCGUAGAUAUUAGGAGGAACACCAGUGGCGAAGGCGGCUUACUGGGCUGUAACUGACGUUGAGGCUCGAAAGCGUGGGGAGCAAACAGGAUUAGAUACCCCCGUAAC